UAAAAACCCCGACUUCGGAAGGGGUGUAUUUAUUAGAUACAAAACCAAUGCCCUUCGGGGCUCUUUGGUGAUUCAUGAUAACUAUACGAAUCGCACGGCCUUGCGCCGGCGAUGGUUCAUUCAAAUUUCUUCCCUAUCAACUUUCGAUGUUUGGGUAUUGGCCAAACAUGGUUGCAACGGGUAACGGAGGGUUAGGGCUCGACCCCGGAGAAGGAGCCUGAGAAACGGCUACUACAUCCAAGGAAGGCAGCAGGCGCGCAAAUUACCCAAUCCCGACUCGGGGAGGUAGAGACAAUAAAUACUGAUACAGGGCCCUUUCGGGCCUUGUAAUUGGAAUGAGUACAAUUUAAAUCCCUUAACGAGGAACAAUUGGAGGGCAAGUCUGGUGCCAGCAGCCGCGGUAAUUCCAGCUCCAAUAGCGUAUAUUAAAGUUGUUGUGGUUAAAAAGCUCGUAGUUGAACCUUGGGCCUGGCUGGCCGGUCCGCCUCACCGCGUGCACUGGUCCGGCCGGGCCUUUCCCUCUGUGGAACCCCAUACCCUUCACUGGGCGUGGCGGGGAAACAGGACAUUUACUUU
Molecule: ribosomal RNA, 576 nt
Filed under: uncultured eukaryote
Lineage: Eukaryota
Description: SSU rRNA
Rfam family: Eukaryotic small subunit ribosomal RNA
Source: RNAcentral